AUAAACCGCAUAUUUUUGUUUAUUAUAAAAAUGCUUCGUAAUUGUAUCGUAUCAAAAAUGCCAUUUUUUAACUUUUUAUUUAUGAAUCGUCUAUAUCAUCAAAAACUUAUAACAAAACAUUCUUUAAUGUGUAUAAAUUAUACACAUAAUUUAGCUGGUAAACAACAAAGAAUAAAAGAAAAUGUGCAACCAGUUAAUAAAUUUGUUUCAAGAUCUCAUACAUGUGGUGAACUAAGACUACAAAAUGUAGGAGAGAAUGUUCAAUUAUGUGGGUGGUUAGAAUUUUUAAGAGCUAACAAAUUUUUGGUAUUGAGAGAUUCUUAUGGUUCUACUCAAUUUAUUAUACCUGAACAUAGAAAGGACUUACAAGAAAUGGCUAGGAAUUUGACCUUUGAAAGUAUAUUGAGCAUAGAAGGUAGAGUAUUAAAAAGACCAGAGGGUCAAAACAAUAAGUGCAUGGGAACUGGAGAUAUUGAAGUAGAAAUAAAAUCCUUGAAAGUUUUAAACAUAGCAAGUUUAAAUAUUCCAUUUAUUAUUAGAGACUAUAAUAAGGCAAAUGAAAAUGUACAAAUGAAGUAUAGAUACAUAUCAUUAAGAUAUCCUGAAUUACAAAAGAAUUUAAGAUUACGUUCAGAAGUGAUAAUGAAGAUGAGAGAAUACCUAAUUAAAGAAUGCAAUUUUGUCGAUAUUGAAACUCCAACAUUAUUUAAAAAUACUCCUGAAGGAGCACAUGAAUUUAUAGUCCCAACAAAACUCUUGGAUCAAUUUUAUUCAUUAGUACAGAGUCCCCAACAAUUUAAACAAUUAUUAAUGGUUGGUGGCUUUGACAGAUAUUUUCAAGUUGCAAGAUGUUACAGGAAUGAAAAGCCUAGACAUGAUAGACAACUUGAAUUUACACAGCUGGAUAUUGAAAUGUCAUUCGUUGAUUGUGAAGGAAUAAUGAUGUUAAUUGAAAACUUAUUAGCAUAUUCUUGGCCUCAAGAAUCAGGAGAAUUAACUAUUCCUUUUAAACACAUAAAAUACGAGGAUGCAAUGGAAUUAUAUGGUACAGACAAACCAGAUUUACGAAUACCACAACAACUUUGUAGACUGACGGAAUUAAUUGAUCAUUCAGUAUUAGAACAAAGUUUAAAAAUGGAACAAAAUGAACACCGUGAAGUUUAUGCUCUAGUUUUUUCCCAAAAACAUGAUUUUCUUACAAAAUCUAUCAAAGAUACUAUAUCUGAACUACAAUGUACUUAUUUCCCUUCUGUGAAAUUAAUACAAACAAAGAUACCUAACAAAUCGCCAGUAAUAACAAAUAUUAUUGAUGGAAAUGUACAACAAAAGUUAAAUUUAAAAAAAGGAGAUGUACUGUUUUUAGCUUGUGGAGAAAAAGUAAACACGCAAUCACUAUUAGGAAAAGUACGUCUUGAAUUUACAAAGUUUUUAGAAAGUGAAGGUCAAGAAAUAUUUACUAGUAGGAAUGAAUUAUUAUGGAUCACUGAUUUCCCUUUAUUUUCGUUUAAUACUAAAACAAAUUCAUUAGAAACUAUGCAUCAUCCAUUCACGCAACCUCAUCCAGAUGAUAUGCAAUAUCUUAUGAACAAUCCACUGAAGGUUAGAGGAUUGCAUUAUGAUUUGGUUAUGAAUGGUUUCGAGAUCGCAGGAGGAUCGAUACGAAUCCAUGACUCAAAAUUACAAAAACAACUAUUUAAGAUGCUAAAUAUAGAUGAAACACACUUAAUGCAUGUACUUGAUGCUUUAGAAUCUGGUGCUCCACCUCAUGGUGGAAUUGCUAUAGGAUUGGACCGUUUAAUGUGUUUGCUCUGUAACACAAAAGAUAUAAAAAACGUGAUAGCAUUUCCAAAAACUACUACAGGUCGAGAUUUAAUGUCAGGAGCUCCGGUUCCCAUUUCUGAGGAAAUAAAAAGAUUCUAUAACAUACAGACGGUAGACAAAUAAAACAAUAUUCAAGAAGUAUCUUUUGUAUUUUUUACUCUAUUGUAAAAAUAUUUAUAAGAGGCUAGCUGGUCAUAUUCACUUCAAAAACAGAAGUGAAAAGGGAGAACGCUAAUGUAAUAUUAACAAAGUCAAUCAAGCAAUGUGAACUAAGGAUAAGAGCCUCUAGUGGUCAGUGCCCAAACUAUAUGCACAUUUCUUUUCCGAUGCUCUGGGUGAAAGAAAUGUGCAUAUGUACGACGAAGGGAAAUUCGUAUUGACGAUCGGCGAAGGAUAAG
Bombus impatiens (common eastern bumble bee) is the source of this 2219-nucleotide RNA transcript. It is a transcript of the gene named aspartate--tRNA ligase, mitochondrial, with no coding region annotated. The record is from RefSeq and is a predicted model, not a curated record. The transcript has 11 exons. NCBI's taxonomy places the organism in Eukaryota, Metazoa, Arthropoda, Insecta, Hymenoptera, Apidae.